Molecule: long non-coding RNA, 5593 nt
Organism: Homo sapiens (human)
Lineage: Eukaryota; Metazoa; Chordata; Mammalia; Primates; Hominidae
Gene: CHRM3-AS2
Product: CHRM3 antisense RNA 2
Source: Ensembl
ACUGUGGAAUUUUCCACAGUCAGUGUUCAACGUAUUUUGAUAUAGAGCUUUUGUGAGUAUGAAACCAGAGUGCUCCAGAAUCUAAAAAGUACUUGAAAAUGAGAUGACGAGCUCCAUGAGGGCCAAGGCUCUCCAUUCUUGUUCACCACUGCACACUCAGGAGCUCAUGGCAUGCUGGCUGUGCUAGUUCUGUGAGUAUUUAUUGAAUUAAUGAAUGAAGAUCCUGGAAAUUUCCAGAAGUUCUUCAGAUGGGAAAACUAAUAGAAGGCUGGGUUUCCCGCAGGCAAGCAAAAAGCAGUUUUAAGUCUAAGAACUAAGGCCUUGAGAGACAUCUUCUAAUUUUGUAAGCAUUGCUGGUUAGGCAUACACAGAUGAAUUACCCAAAUGAUAUGAAAGAAAUCUGCCGUAUUAACAUCAUGUCUGGUUUAAAGAACAGGGCUUAAAACCUUAAAGAGGUACAUACAUUUCUCUGGGCUUAUGUUUUGUCCCUCGUCCAUAAAACAAUUUAAUGGAACACCGUUUUUUAUACUUAAAUAAGGUGAUCACACAAUUUAUCAUCCAGACUAAGGCAUGUUUGUUAGUGAAAGAGAGUAAUCAUAAUUGUGCCUCAGCAACAGAGGUAAACUGCAGAGGUCUCCAGCAAACUGGGACAAGUGGUCACCCCAGCUGUGGCUGACAUAACAGUAUGAUAUAGGGAAAUGCAAAAUUCUCUGUCCAUGGAGAUCUGUGAUGGGAGCUAUAGAAUAACUAAGCCCAACAUAGAGGGAUGCUUCUCAUCAAUGUGAUGUUGGUGUUUGUGCAAAUUGUAGAAGAAGCAAUGCAUCUUCAAUAAUGCAGUAAACAGAAUAAGAUUACAGUUGCAUUCAGCAUUUUACAUUUUAUUUGGAGCUUGUUCUGUUUAUUAUUUUAUUUUGUUCCCCUCAACAUACCUAUUUUAAUUCCUCAAAAAGCCUUUGAUGAGCAAUGGGCCAGGCACAAUUGUGAUGGAAAGGAAGAACAAGAUAUCAACCAUCCCUAGAGAAUCGACAGUAUAAUUACAGAGCAAAUAGUGUCAUCCAUAAUUACAGAUUAAGGAAUGGACACCCAGAACUCAGAAAUGACUUGGUUAAGGGUGUGUAGAUAAUAAACAGUAUAACUGGAACUGCAAUUCAGAUCUCUGACUUCCAAUUCGGAAUUCACUUUAUUUUGCUCAGCUGCCUCCCACUUAAUGUACUUAAUGUACUUUAUGCUCUUGUCUUCUACCGCACAGAAAUGCCCAUGAAGUACGUUGACACAGUCUUUGCAGAAGCAGAUUGUGCCCGGGCUUAGCGGGCAGUGUUUGUGUUGCCCGUGUGGACUUCCUUUUUAGGCGCUGGCUUCUGGCCCUGUGUCAGGGAUUGGAAGGGGAUUUAAAAGGCCAAGCACAUCUCUGAUUAACUUGUCGCUGUAUCAUACCUAUGUUUAAAUCCUGGGUAAAUUAAAAGGACAAAAAUAUGUCUUUUUACUUCAUGAUCAAAUUCCACUGCAGAGGAGUAAUGAAAUAGUCCAGAUAUGGUCAGGGGAUAACCCUGGGGAUAACAGACCAUCUCUACUCCAUAAAAUGUGGGUAUUUGUCCAUGAUGAAACAUUGGACCUUUUCAUUAAAGAGAAACACUAUUUAUUAGUGCUUUGGGGUUUACAAAAUACAGUCUUUACCGAAUAGAUUUAUUACUGUUCUCAGAUUUCUAAGGGAAACAGCUUUUAAGAUUGCAAUGCAAGUAUUCGAGGAAAUGCGGCAUUAUGCUUAAAUUCUUUUAAAUGCUAGCAACAGGCACUGGUUAAAAGGUAAAGUAUUUUCAAUAGUCAGAGAUACCCCAGCUUACAGAGACUUCUGUUCUUUCAUUCAUUCCAACUACAUACUUCUGCUAGCAUAAGAUCCUGAUGAUAAAAUUGAAAGGUGAAUUUUGUCAUUUUCAACUUUCAAAAAAAAUUUCACUUAUUUUACAGAAAUAUUUCCUAAGUAAGAAAUGACUUUCAAAUAAUCUUUUUUCUUUUUCUGACCUGAAGAGAAUUCUGUAAAGGACAAAAGCAAAAUCAAAAUAGCUCACAAACCAACGAAGUCAUUCCAAUCACAACCAAGGAUAACUAAAAUAGAAGACUCCUAAAGUUACCUGAAAUUGAUCGGGGACCAAGAUAACUGGGACAAUUAUAGUGAAUAAAAUUAUUUUUUAAACAUCUAUAAAAUUAUUGAUCCUAUGCUCAUGACAAAGAUGGAUACAAUGUAUAAUUGAGAUUAAAAAUAACCUUCUCUUUUUGGGUAGUCUGACAGUUUAUCUUAAAGGGAGGGUUUUCUUUGUUGGAAAUAUUUCUGAAUGGGCUUACUAGAGGCAAAGGCUGAGAUCAAAAGGCAUCUAAGCCUGGGGGGAUGGGCUCUGGGGAGCCCUGGUAUGGAUCUAGCUAUAGCUAAAGGGGAAUGGGGCUGGAUGUGGAGUUUGAGAACAGCUUGGGCAAUAGAGUGAGACUUCAUCUCUACAUUUUAUUGUUUGUCUUAAAGUUAGCAGAGUAUGGUGGUGCGUGCCUGCAGUCCUAGCUACUCUAGAGGCUGAAGCAAGAGGAUCCCUUGAGCCCAGGAUUUUGAGGCUGCAGUAAGCUGUGUCUCACCCCUGUUCUUUAGUCUGGGCAACAGAGUGAGACCCUGUCACUAAAAAAAAAAAAAAGCAGAGAGAGAGUGAGAGAGCGGGAAAUGGGGAUGUGAGGAUGGAGAGAGACGGAGGGAGUGGGGCAGUGGACUAAAGGUUUGGUGGAAGGAGAUCUAUUGUUUUGUGAUCCUCUCCUCAGGACCCCUCAAGUCCUCUGGAACUUGAUGAACUUAUUAAUGAUUUAUAAAUAACAAUAAUUUAUUAUUUCUUACUAUUUAAUAUUAAUAUCGUAUAUUAUUAUUUAAUGAUUACUGAUUUAUUAAAUCUUUGGGCUGAUGGAUGGAAUGGGGGGUCUGGGUGGCCAAGCAUUAUUGAACCACAUGGAAAGAGGAGUGCAGACACUGGGGACUGAGCAGGAGUAAACUCUGAGUAAUGUUCAAGACUUUUGGGGAGCACCCGGGACUCAAAGGAUGCAAAGUUGGAUGGGGGUCAGUAAAGUUUAUCCAGUCUCAGAGGAGCAAGAAAACUCCAAUUUGUUAUUGGGGUUACAGACACAAUCCAUGCAUGACCCCAAAACCUUACGGUGUAGUGGAAGAAGCAGAUGGGCAAACAACACACAAGGGAUGUGUAUUUAUCUAAGGAAUCUCAUCUGUGCCACUGCAGCUGCAUCUGUACAAUGUCCAGGGCCCAGAGGAAGGCCUCACUUAUGCUACCUGGAAACUCAGGGCGGUAUUGUGGGGAGGUGGCAUUUUUGCUGGGUCUUGCAGAAUGAGUGAGAGUUGUCAAAUAGUUUUGAAAACUCAGAACAGUAUUAUUUCAAUUUCCUAAAAAGAAGCCAAACGAAGCUGGGAAAGAAGGAGACAGGCUUUCUUGGUGGGAGGUAUAGCAUGAAUGAAGUUAGGAACACGGCAGGUUGUUUGCGGUGUGGUGAGAGGUACCAGGGUACAUGGUUGAGGAGUGGUCAACCUUCACUCUAAAGCCAUAUUUAUUAAGGCCUUAAAGCCUAUACUUAUUUUCUUUAUGCUUAGAAACAAGCAACUUGUCAAGAAUUGAGAUAUAAGAAAAAAAUAUUAAUUUACUUUAUCUAAACUUGGCAUUCAAUAUAGUUACUAAAUUCUCUGUCUGAUACCUGGUUAAAUGACUAAAUAAUAGUCAGUAAAUGAUUCUAAUUUAAGCUUAACUGAAGCUUGUAUCUAAAGUGAACCACAGGUCCCCUCCUCAUCUCCUCAUACCCUCCUGCUCAUAUGUCACAUACCCAAACCCAUAGCAUAUCUAUCUCCACAGUUUUAAUGAUCUUAAUCAUUUACAAUGUUAUUUCUCAUCAUUUAGGUUGUCAGGUGUUCUUUGCAUUAUCAGCCUGCCUAUAGAUAUGGAAUUAAUAAGAUUAUACAAAAUAUUUGCCCAACUUAGAUCAGAGAAUUUUGCAAUUUCCUGAUCAACUGCAAGAUUGAUCUUCCACAAUAUGGAUGUAGUUAUAUACAUACAAACACAUAUAUAUGGGUAUAGUUACAUAUAUAGAGAGUAUCUAUAUGCAUACAGUUAUAUAUAUAUAUUCAAUAAUAUGGAUAUAGUUAUACAUAUAACACUUAGAUGCAGAUAAUGAAAAGACUGUUAUUUGUUUUUAAUUGGCUAUUUAAUUGUUUGAUUCACAAUGUUUGUUUCUGGAAUUCCAUGACAAGUCCAAUAACAUUAACUAGCUUUCAAGGUCGAUGUCAGCAAAAUGAAAUUGCCAUUAGAAGCAUCACAAUCAGUGUCCUUCCUCAUUUGGCAUAGGUGGAGGAGGACUGCAGAGUUACCUUUAGUAAUAUCUCAUGAUACAAUGAUGCUUCAUGUCAAAUAGCAAUUAAUAUCAUUUUAACUUAAAUAAUGUGGAUAUUAUUUUACAUUUUGAUAUUAAUUUUUUUAAAACACUUGAGGUUUAAAGAAAAGAUAAAACAAGGUAGCUUUGUCAAGAAUGAGAAUUUAGAUCUUCACUGGUUAAUCUCUUUAAUUUCAAAUUUAGCUACUUAAGUGGAACGUCCCAACUUAAAAUAAAUGUCUAGAAAUUGCCUCAUAGGUUAAAGAACUCUCAAAAACCUGUCCCUGACAAUGGUAUUUCCAAAAGCAGCUAGUGACAACAGGUUAAAGGGAUUUAUAGCCCCCUUUUAGCAGCUUAAUGUCUAUACAAAGGAAUUCAUUCAUUCACUUCUUUUUUUCUCAACACGUAUGGAACCCCUGCCACACAGGCAGCACUGUCCUAGCUGGAAACAUGAGUAGAUAAAGUCACUGAUUCAAAGGAACUUUAUUCUACUGGUGGGCACAAAAUGGCAGCUAAAUUUAUAAGGUAACAUUGGCUGCUUUACGGAAAAAAACAAAGCAGGGUAGGUGGGUACAAUGAGUGAUUGUCAAGAGUAUGACUAUUUUAGACACGGCGGUCGGUAAAAUCCGCCUCAAGGUGGAGGCAUUAGAACCAAGACCUCUGCUCACCAGCAGGCAGUCUGAAAAAGUAUUAGACAAAAUAACCCAGAAAACAAAGACUUGGGGUGGCAAACAAGCUUCAAGUGCUCAAGAAACUGUAAGAAAUGUUGAUGUGACUGGCCUGAGUUUCAGUCUGAAAACUUUGGGUGCUAAAUAGUGAACAUAGUUGCAGAAAAAUAGAAAGUAAAAGAAAGCAUUGUACGUUUAAACAUAUGCAAAUAAAUAGGUAGAAACAGAUAGAAAACAGUAUGUUUUAGGGAGUAUAAUUUUGGGGUAACAUAUCUUUUAUUAUUUUUCCUAACUGGGGAGGGGGUGGAAGACUAUAUUGCCAACAAAAUGAAAGCUUUUACCCCCUAAACAUGUCAAACAAUUCAGCAGCUGAUAAUUACAUUUAUUGGAGUUAAAAAAUAAAGUGGGAUCUUAAGGAGAAUUAGUUUAUUUGAAUCAUGGUGACUGAGAGUGAAAAGAGAAAAAGACAAAUGUGAAACUUCUGUUUCAUCCACUAAGGAGUCAGCAGAAAGUACCACGGAACCUACAGA